CCUACGGGUGGCUGCAGUGGGGAAUAUUGCACAAUGGGGGAAACCCUGAUGCAGCGACGCCGCGUGAGUGAAGAAGUAUUUCGGUACGUAAAGCUCUAUCAGCAGGGAAGAAAAUAAGUACUUUGGACUUUGGACGGUACCUGACUAAGAAGCCCCGGCUAACUACGUGCCUACAGCCGCGGUCAUACGUAGGGGGCAAGCGUUAUCCGGAUUUACUGGGUGUAAAGGGAGCGUAGACGGCAGCGCAAGUCUGGAGUGAAAGGCGGGGGCCCAACCCCGGAACUGCUUUGGAAACUGGGCAGCUGGAGUGCAGGAGAGGGAAGCGGAAUUCCUGGUGUAGCGGUGAAAUGCGUAGAUAUUGGGAGGAACACCAGUGGCGAAGGCGGCUUACUGGACUGUAACUGACGUUGAGGCUCGAAAGCGUGGGGAGCAAACAGGAUUAGAUACCCCAGUAGUC
This 457-nucleotide ribosomal RNA is filed under the name uncultured bacterium. RNAcentral describes it as "partial 16S ribosomal RNA". It matches the Rfam family "Bacterial small subunit ribosomal RNA", at positions 338 to 795 of the family's 1533-position model. The record is from RNAcentral.